AUCGCGGUUUCGCAGGAAGCGGUUCGCGCUGUUUUUUCUACAGCACGCUCCUGUCAGGUGCCGUUGUACGACGGUGCCGGAUUGGGGUGUGACAUUAAGAAAGUACCCUGUAAAUACCAAACUCUUAGGUAUUUUGAGGUACUAAGUUUUACAUAUAAAAAUAAUUUUAGACAGGUUAGACCAUGCAUGUAGGCAUGCCUGCAUUACGCAUGCCUUUUGUUCUUGACAGGCUAAAUUUCUUCACCAUUACCUUGAUCAGUGUCAGUGAACAAAUUCAUCAGACAAAGUUUGUACAUCACGCAAGAAAAAAUUCUGGCAAUAUUGAAAUCGGUCGUACUCCACUGGCGAGAUUAGGUGCAGAAAAUUACUAAGCUGCAGAGUUGCAGAUUGACACCUGAGCAGAGGUUAUGUAUCUAUCGGAUGCAUCAUAUGUGUGCAAAUUAGAUUCAAAUUAGUUUUCUCUCUGCCUUACCUUGACCAGGGGUAAAUUAAUAAUUUCCAUACGUUUAAAUCUCAGAAAAAUAGUAUACAAGAUAUAUAAAAAAUUCCUUAACAGCAUCGCUCCUUUCUUUUAGCAAAUUGAAGCGCGAUGAGAAAUAGUGCCUCUUUGCUGAACUUUUUUUCUUUUUUGGCACAAGUGAAGCAUGCACCUAGCUAGGAUGCUUCGACAAACUAAUUAGCAGCCAGAUACUGCCAUCGUCGCAAGCUUGGCCACAAAUCGCCUCAUUGGGAUCUCAAUCUAUUUGAACCUCCUACGUACAUGGCGUGCAACUGAAAAUCUGAAAUGCUCCUUCAGACAUCCAGCUUGAAGCUCCUGUAAAGUGGAUGUUUUUAGGAGCAUUUCAGUUGCCCAUGCUAGCCAGAGGUGUCUGGAGGAGCUUCAAAGCAAAUGUCUGCAGGAGCAUCUCAGGGUGUUCCAUCACAAGCUGAAUUCGCGCCUGGGUAAUUCCAGAUACCUGCCAUGCCAUGUCGCUCAAAUGGGCUUGAGGCCUAGAGGGCGAGCUAGCGAAGGACAAAGGAGGGGAAAUCGAGGAGGUGGAAGCUAAGACUCAGUAUACAAUUGCACAUUUCACUCAAGUUGUAUGCGAGUUUAAAUAAGUUCGAGGCAAGGUUCUUGCGUGAUGAAGGGUAGGUGGAUGAGAUAAUUUUGCGUGUGGAUAAGGUCUGGUUUAGUUCCCAAUUUUUUUUCCCAAAAACGUCAUAUCGAAUAUUUGGACAAAUGCAUAGAGCAUUAAAUAUAGAUAAAAACAAAAA
This is a long non-coding RNA of Oryza sativa Japonica Group (Japanese rice), 1254 nucleotides long. RefSeq lists it as uncharacterized. NCBI's taxonomy places the organism in Eukaryota, Viridiplantae, Streptophyta, Magnoliopsida, Poales, Poaceae. The record is from RefSeq and is a predicted model, not a curated record.